UGAGGUGAAGCAGGCACAGAUGUUUCACAUGAGGAACUGAAAUCACCGGUGCUGAGGUGCCCUGUAAGCAAGUGAAACUAGAUAAGAGACCAAAGGAAAAGAAAAAGGACAUCAGCACGUACAGUUCUGGCAACGGGAGGAAGGACUCCUGUUCUUUCAGCGUGACGUCUGUAGGCUACCCUGAGUCCUGUCUUGUUAAUACUCCUAGCGGACCACCUCCGGCUCAGCCCUUCUCAAUGCCACAGCUGGAGAGCAGUGGCUCUCAAAAGUGGCUAUACUUCAGAGUCAUCGGGAACUGAUUGUCCAUGCCCAGAACAUCAGCAUCCCGGAGGGUGAGAACCAGAUCAGUGCAUUUGCAAGAGUGGAGAGAGGAGAUGUGAGGUGAAAUGGGGAGUCCUGACAAAAGCAAUUGACAAAGGCACGGUUUAUAAUAAAUGAGAAUCUUGGAAUUCUAUUGCCGAAUUAUACAGACCUUUCCAGAAAGAAUCAAGAUUAAAAUACUUCUGGAGAAAGCAAGUGAAAGACCACUUCCUUUAACCGUACAAGCAUCUUUUCAACAUAAUAUAACUUUAGUUUUCUUUCUGCCUCCUGAAAACAUCUGCUAUCUCUCACCUAUAAAAUUUCUCAGCAUUUUCCCUCAGCCUGGGAGGCCCUUGUAAUUUAAGUA
Molecule: non-coding RNA, 667 nt
Organism: Odocoileus virginianus texanus
Lineage: Eukaryota; Metazoa; Chordata; Mammalia; Artiodactyla; Cervidae
Source: RefSeq, a predicted model, not a curated record